AAUCGCAUGAUUCAAGUUUGAAAGGCGGCGUAAGCUGUCACUUUAGGAUGAGCCCGCGGCGCAUUAGCUAGUUGGUGGGGUAAAGGCCUACCAAGGCAAUGAUGCGUAGCCGAGUUGAGAGACUGAUCGGCCACAUUGGGACUGAGACACGGCCCAAACUCCUACGGGAGGCAGCAGUAGGGAAUCUUCCACAAUGGACGCAAGUCUGAUGGAGCAACGCCGCGUGAGUGAAGAAGGUUUUCGGAUCGUAAAGCUCUGUUGUUGGUGAAGAAGGAUAGAGGCAGUAACUGGUCUUUAUUUGACGGUAAUCAACCAGAAAGUCACGGCUAACUACGUGCCAGCAGCCGCGGUAAUACGUAGGUGGCAAGCGUUGUCCGGAUUUAUUGGGCGUAAAGCGAGCGCAGGCGGAAUGAUAAGUCUGAUGUGAAAGCCCACGGCUCAACCGUGGAACUGCAUCGGAAACUGUCAUUCUUGAGUGCAGAAGAGGAGAGUGGAAUUCCAUGUGUAGCGGUGGAAUGCGUAGAUAUAUGGAAGAACACCAGUGGCGAAGGCGGCUCUCUGGUCUGCAACUGACGCUGAGGCUCGAAAGCAUGGGUAGCGAACAGGAUUAGAUACCCUGGUAGUCCAUGCCGUAAACGAUGAGCGCUAGGUGUUGGGGACUUUCCGGUCCUCAGUGCCGCAGCAAACGCAUUAAGCGCUCCGCCUGGGGAGUACGACCGCAAGGUUGAAACUCAAAGGAAUUGACGGGGGCCCGCACAAGCGGUGGAGCAUGUGGUUUAAUUCGAAGCAACGCGAAGAACCUUACCAGGUCUUGACAUCCUGCGCUACACCUAGAGAUAGGUGGUUCCCUUCGGGGACGCANAGACAGGUGGUGCAUGGCUGUCGUCAGCUCGUGUCGUGARAUGUUGGGUUAAGUCCCG
RNAcentral lists this ribosomal RNA (920 nucleotides) under Lactobacillus delbrueckii subsp. bulgaricus. RNAcentral's name for it is "bacterial SSU rRNA". It matches the Rfam family "Bacterial small subunit ribosomal RNA", at positions 184 to 1089 of the family's 1533-position model. Lineage: Bacteria; Bacillati; Bacillota; Bacilli; Lactobacillales; Lactobacillaceae. The record is from RNAcentral.